RNAcentral lists this long non-coding RNA (1620 nucleotides) under Sus scrofa (pig). RNAcentral describes it as "lncRNA (ENSSSCG00035008248.1)". The record is from RNAcentral. Lineage: Eukaryota; Metazoa; Chordata; Mammalia; Artiodactyla; Suidae.
CCUUUUUAGGGCUGCACCUGCGGUAUAUGGAAGUUCCGGGGCUAGGGGUCAAAUCCAAGCUGCAGCCAGGCUAUAUCACAGCCCACGUGGGAUCUGAGACCUACGCCGCAGCUCACAGCAACGCCAGAUCCUUAACCCACUGAGCAAGGCCAGGGAUCAAACCCACCUCCUCAUGGAUACUAUCUGGGUAAAAGCUUGAGGACACCAGUUUCUCGAACUUCACCCACAUCUAAGAUUCAGUUCUUACGUUAUCAGCCCCCGGUCCAACACAAAGGGGAACCGGGGGAAAACUGACAGCAGCUCUGCCCCAGAACACCCCCGCUUAGUGACGAGGCUCCUCGGUAAAAUGCAUUCGUGGUAACCCACAUUCUGUGAAGGGCUGUGGUCUUCACACCGCGGUGAUCUGGCCUCCCUCGUCCCCAAGUCCCGCCACCCCGCUGAGCUGGCCCAGCUCGGCAGGCUGCUGGGCCUAUGCGCCCGCUGAGCCUUGGCUGGACAGUCCUCCUGGCUCCCAGGGCCUCACCUCCAGGUCUCCGCCUGGACGCCACCCCCAGGGCAGCCCGGCCACUCCCUCCCCAGCGGGCUCUCUGCCCUCACCCACCUCUCUGCUCCCCUCUCUCCACCUCAUCUGUGAUCGCCUACGGGCGUGUUCGACUCCCGCGUGGAUUGUCUCUCUCCUCUAGCGAAAUAGAAAUUUUGUGGGAAGGGGGCCUUUUUCUGUCUUGUUCUGCCUUCUCUUCCUAAACCCAGGACUGGGCCACCUGGAAGCAUCUGUGGGGUGACAGGUACAGGCGCGGAGGUGGCAGGGGUGGCAGAGGGGACACUGACUCAGGGGGCAAUGAAGUCAUGAGGUCACCUCGGAAGGUACGAAUGGGCUCUCUUCCCGGUCACCACUGACCGAGCACAAGGCCACCGUCCGGCCCUCCGCCAGCCUCCCUCCCAGAGGCUGACGUCUCACAGAUGCCAGUGGCAGCUCGGAGGACCCCUUCAUGGUGACUGUGGAACCGGCUGAUGAAGGUGACCUGUGUUCUCCCCCCUCUGCGGAGCGGAGGCGGCGCUUGCGGGGAGCCAGACCGCUCCGUCUCUGGCUGGACGAGGGCAGUGGCAGGGCUCUGGCACCCGCGGGUCACCCAAAGGACACCUGCUCCUCCCAUUCGGUUCCUUUGGACCUUCAUGAGAAAGAAUCCAAACCAGAGCAGAGGAGUAGAGAGCCCGCAGCAGCAGGGGGAGGGGGGGGACAAAUGUCAAUCAACGUCACAUCCAAGGCGGUGGGGGCGGGGCUGCAGAGUCAGAUGUCAGGGCUUCGGGGAUGGGGACGGGGACUGGGCGGGUGAGAGUCGGGGUGGAGGAAAAUCAGGGCCGGAGGAGGAGGUGAGGGCGGCCUCCUCUGCCGCUUAACGCUUGUUGAUGGCCCUGGGCUUGGGGACUGGACGCCCGGUGCCGGCACCCUGUGAUGGAGGCCGUGUUGCUGAAAUGGGCCUCUGAUGUCAGAGGCCAGCGGGUUUGAGGCACUUGUCCUCAGACCUCUGCCACUCUCCUGGCCUCCCGGCCUUCUGGCAUCGGGAUGAGCAGGCAGGAGAGAGAAAGUCACUGCCUGCUGAUGGCUCAGGUUCACCUGGA